Molecule: long non-coding RNA, 39756 nt
Filed under: Capsicum annuum
Lineage: Eukaryota; Viridiplantae; Streptophyta; Magnoliopsida; Solanales; Solanaceae
Description: long non-coding RNA (CANN_LNC011226)
Source: RNAcentral
UUUUUGAAAAGCAAAGAUGCAUCUCUCUAGGAAGAGAGAUCACAUGCCCCUCUCUCUCCUUCUUCCCUAUCAUUCAAACUCCUAUGCACAAUCCCUAUGCUAAACUCCAACUACUUCUCUGCAUCUCCCAUCUCCUCCACCCCAAAACCAGCCAGAUUUUAUAUUUCUCAAUUUUUACCACCCUAUCAAUCAGCUCAACAAUGUCCUAGCCUUACCCUAAAUAGCUAGAUUCAACCAUUUACUUGCACAAAGGUUUUCAGAUCCCUUGAAGUUGAAAUAUAAAUUUCAAAUACAUGGACUAGCCUCAUCUACAUCUCUAAUUCUUGCCCAACAUCUCUUUACUGCAGAAAAAUAUUCAAAUUCAAUCACAAAUAAUUGGAUUUCCUCCCUACUCUACUUAUCUUUUCUAUCUCCUAUAAUUUUUAAAGAGAUUAUGAUUAUUUUUCUUAUUUUAUUGCUUGAGAUCUAAAUAGUGCAUUUUAAAAACUAGUUGUUCCUUCAAUGUUCACUAUAAAUAGCGCCUCAACUAUUCUCAAUAAGGAAGGGAAGAAAGGGAUCAAAAGAGGUUAGAAAAGGUGAAAAAAUGAGUGGAAAAUAGUGGAUUUUAGGAGUGAUAGAGGUGAGAAAAUCACAAGAAAAAAUAGAAAAAAGUAGUCUUAAGAAUCAAAAGUUUCUUUUUAGUUUGGGUGAGAAUUCAGAGUUGAGUUUUAGCCAUCGGAGUUUUCACGUUGGCGCCCAGUUUGCUUCACAACACAAGGUACGAUUCGUCUUUUUGGGUCACUUCCAUCUCUCUUUACCUUUCUAUUUGGGUCUGUAAGCAUGUUGUUUAGUUCAACUUUUGUCAAAUUUCAUAUCGAUGUGGUUGAAAAUAGACUCAUGCACAAGUUUUGAUCAAGUCUAAAUAGUUGUAGAUUCAAAAAAUCAGGUUUGGAAGUGAAUUUUUAUGUUGUUUAUGUUGUCAUUAGUUUUGAAAAUUUGACCAUGAUACUGUGGAAAACACGUUGGUGUGAAAAUCACCUUAUUUUUCUUAAAUUAUGUAUUUUUCAAAGUACGUAUAUGUGAGUUUAUAUUGUUGAGAACCACCCUUUUCAGUUUGUUUUCAUCUUACUUUUCUUCAGCUCUUUUCUGUUAAACAUGGGGUUCACUUUGAUUUCUUCUUUGUGUUGUUAUUUUGGUCUUGCAAAUAAAUGAUAUAAUUUUUUAAUCUGAAAAAAUCAUUUGGUGGAUGAAUACAUAAAUGUGUAAAUAUGUAUUUAAAUGUAUUAAUUUUAUGUAAGGCUACAGAUUAUUGUAAUCUUUCUCAAAAUUGGAUGAGAGAUGUAUCUUCAGGGCUGAAAGCUUACUACUACAGUUACUUGGGUCUGCGAAAGCAUCAAAGAUGGUUAUGUAAAUAAUUGAAGAGUAAUUCCUAUCUCGUUUUGAUGAGAUUAUCAUCUCCUUUUUUUGUGCGCGUAUGAAAGAAGCCCAUUUCGAUAUACAUUUCCACUUUUCUCGCUUAAAAUCCAUGUAUCUGGUUAAUGUUUUUCUUUGCUCUCAUUGGAAGUCUGGAAUCUGGUUUUGGUGCUUGUGAUUUUUAUUUCUUCUAUUCUCUAGAUUAGUAAGGAAAAAAUUCAACCAUGAAAAUUUACUUUCAUUUUGCGGCUGCUUUGACGUCCAAAUAAGUGAUGUUACAUGAAUUUUAACCCUUUAUUUUACUUUGUUGGACAUGGGACUAAUAUAGUUGGAAUCAUCUCCUCAAUUAUUAUUAAGUGUAAAGACUAAUCCUAGAGUUAAAAGUUUGUCUUCUUCACAGAUUCAGAUUCAUAAGUUUUUUCCCUUCAUUUUCGUGGUUCUACAUGAUGGUCUAGUGUUGGUUAGUGUUGAAAUGUGACAGAACUAUGAUUUACUAAAUUUCGUUAAGUCUUAAUUUGGUUCAUUUACAUAUUAUCCAGUUAGAGAAGGGUUUUCUUUUCCCCUUUUAUCACCUUGAAUUUGAUUUAGCCUAGAAAUCAUACAUAUUAAUACUUGUAUCUUGGGUCAUUCUUUGUAACUAAGCUUAGAAUUGGAUUUUGAUAUUUAUUUUUGUCUAAUACAUGGCCAUUUUGAAUAUAUAAAAUAUGAAACUCAAUUUUUAGUUUCACUUUACUAUAAAUUUGAGUUUGAGAAGAUGUGUGAAUUGAAUGUUUUCCUAUGUUCUUACAUUCAAGCAUGCCUACAAUACUGUGUAAGGUUUGUUUAUAAGAUCUCAGUCAAAUAAGUUUAAAAGACCACCUGAAUGCCUUUUCUUUCUUAUGCAUCUCUCUCAAUUUCUCUCAAAAUUCUCUAAAAUUUAUGGCUUUGCAUUGCAUAUCCAAGUUUCAUUUCAUCCCUUUUGCAUUAGUUAGUUUGGUAAGUUGUCUCAACUCUCUUCAUUUUGAUACAAUUGCAUGCUUAGAACGUGUAGUUUAGGUAAAGACUUAAGUUAAUAUUUUCAUGGCAAAAUGUAUGCUUGUUGAUAAUUAUUAUGUGGUUAGUUGUUGUUGGUGGUGUACAUACUCAUAAAAAAGUCUUGAGUACCCAGAAUUAGGCCUAAAACUACUUGAAUAGAAGUGUGCACCAUGUGUUUGAUUUACUGCCCCAAAGAGUUCAAUUUAAUUUCUUUCAAGUCUAGGGCCAUAAUCAUUCAUUCUAUGCUUAAAUUCUCGAUGUAUGAUGUUGGUAUGCCUAGUUUCAACAAAGAAUUGUGAUUAAAAUUGUCUUUUGAAGAGUGUGCAGAAUAUUUCGACUAAGGUCUCAAGUAUUGCGAUCGCGGUCAAUGAUCUGCGAUCAACAUACCCGAGGGCAGUGUCUGCAGGAACCAAAAAUUUCUAUACAUCCAAUUCUACCCCCAAAACCUUUUGUAACACUACCACAUGUAUUUAUCUUUUUGAUCUAGCUUGUUUUUGGUAUAAUUAUACUAAUAAUGGCCAAAAGGGCAAUGUUUAUAGGUUCUAAGCCUUAGAGAUAGAAGAAUUUGACAACAUCAGUUUCAUGGCCCCAUAAUUCUAGGACAUCUUCUACGCAGAUAUUCACAAAACUAAGUUACUCUCUAAAAGGGAUAUCAACUUAGACAAGGUAGAGGAGAAGCUCCUAGGAUUCCAUUCUAGACUCUCUGAAAUCGGGUAUAGGAGCUUUGCCCCGGACCCCUACAAAGAAAAUGAGUAGUGGGUACAGGAGUUCUAUGCCAACCUAAGCAUAACUUCUUUCACAAAUUCAGUAAUGACUAUUAGGGGAAAUCAAGUGAAUUUUGAGACAGAGAGAAUCAACGAGGUUCAUGGACUCCCAAAUACUAACAUGGAGAAGUUUUAUGCAAAAUCAUGUGAGCUAGGGACCUGGAUAGAAAAUAUUUUAUGUCUUAGCAAAAAGGUUCCCUCGGCCACUACCAAUAGAGAUAUUCUUAUGAAUAAAUUUACAUUUGAGGCCAGGCUUUGGCUGAAUAUCAUCUGUAGCCAAGUAUUACUAUGCACUCACAUGACCAUUGUUACAAACUUGCUAGCUUAGAUGGUGACCUAUUCUAUCUAUGACAUCGCCCUAAAUAUGGGCGAGAUUGUGCGCUCAGAGUGGAGGUACUUCAGAAAUUAUGGAGGUACACAUCUUCUCCUUCUUUCUAUUAUCAUAGAGCUAUGCAUGAGGGCACAAGUGGAGGAAUAUGCUAUAGAUACUUGGGUACUCCCAGGUCCUCGCAUCUUUCAACACAAGUUCAGGGGUGAGGGUGACCCAAGUCAGAGAAAAAAAGGAAAGUUGACUCUGACAAAUCAACCUAAGAGGAAAUAGACUCUUGUAGACCUUCAUCUGUCAACUCUCUCAAUAACAUAUGAGGUCAGAUACAGGCGGUUAGGGAGCUAUUAUCAAAAUUGCCUCAGGAAUGGGGAGAGCCAUCUACUACUCGCCACUCGUACGUAGCUCAGUCGGACUAUGAGAAAUAUUAGAAGUAAAAGAAGUAGGGAGACACUAUCACCUUUUUGGAGAGAGCUUAUUCAACCUUAGCUACGUCAUAUAGGGACUUCAUGGAUUCAUAUAAGAAGAUAGUAAAGAGAGAGAAGAAGAGAGAUAAAUUCUUCAAAAGUUGGGGAAGGGGAUGAAGGGCAUCUUCAAGGUUCUCAAGCCUAAUCAUUGACUACCUUUACGUAAGAUUGACCAUGAAGAUAAGGCCCUUGCUGAUUGGUCUACCGAUGUUGCUAAUGGUGAUGGUUCAGAUUUAGUAGGAGAGAGCAACUCUUGAUGCAGAUUCAGGGAGACCCUCUUACUCUUUCGUUAUUCCACACACAGUGAGGACACUACAGUCCUUUUUAGUUGGGGUUGCCCCAAAUUUGUAUUGUUGUGAUGUUGUGUUGCUGUAUAUUUUAUAUUUUUGUUGUUGUUUUGGGAUGCCAUUUUAGAUAUUAUUUGGGUUUUGUUUUGAGAUGCUACAUUUUUGGGGACUCUAAUUGUGCCCAUAUUUUAUGGAUUAUCCUAUUUUUUUUUUGUUUUUCUUCUUUCUAUAGUUUUAUUUAAAUUUUGAUGAUACAUGACUAGCUUUGCCCUAUGAUUGAUUAAAUGACAACAUUCUUAAGUGUAAAGCAUCAUGAUUGGGUUUUGAGACAUAGACGUAGGGAAAUUUNNNNNNNNNNNNNNNNNNNNNNNNNNNNNNNNNNNNNNNNNNNNNNNNNNNNNNNNNNNNNNNNNNNNNNNAAUUUUGAGUUCUUAUGGCAUUGUUUAUUUGGGAUCACAUUAUACACCAUUGGCAAAGUCUGAGUAGCCAUAUUAGUGGUUUGCCCAUUUUGAGCCAAAAUAUGAGGCUAAGGCUUUGGUUGUUGCCACAGUAUAGCAAAUUAUGUGUGGUGCUAAUGUAAAAUGAACAACCCCCUCCAUCCAAAAUUUUUCAAAAAUAAACAGCAUGGACAUGAAUAAUUUUGUAACAAAACUUUUUAUCUAUUUUGUUACUCAAUAAAUUUUUGACUUGUGAAUAGAAAUAAAUACUCCAAUUUUCUCUCUAGCGGGAGGGACAUUUGAACACCCUUGGCUAAUUUUGCAUGCCAUGUGUGGUGAUCCAUUUACAUUUAUAGCUUGUAUACUUGUGUUAUCUAAAAGUUUUCCCAUUAGUCUUUCAAAGAAAAUUUUGAUUGUAGUUGGUUGGAGAAAUGACCUUAGGCCAUCUUUAUGACUUUGGAAUCCACUCUAGCCUAAAAAGUCUACCUGUGCAUAAAGUUAAUCCCUAGUUAGCCACUUUGAGCAUUUGGACCUUUCUUUGACAAACUCAUUACAAACCAUGAACCAUUCUUUUUAUUCCUCUUUUGAAUCGUACCCUUCUUAAACUUGAAAAUGCAACUCGAGGCUAAAAGCCUAAGUUGGGGAUGGUAAAGAUUGACGCAAGUAAGUUUGGGUCCACAAAUUCGCAAGUGAAAUACCUAAUGAGCCUUAGCAUUAAAAAUAAAUGAAUAUAAAAAAAAUGAUAUGACAAAGGAAUAAAUUACAUGUAAGCUGCAAGAAAAAUAAAUCAAAGAAAAUUGGUAAACAAUGGAAGCAAAAAAUAGGCAUGAGAAAAGAGAGAAAAAAAGGAGUGGCCCAUAGUCAAAAAGGUUGAUUAAAUAGUGUGAUAUAGAUGUUCAAAGAAGGGCAUAGCCAUGUUUUCCUAAAUAAUAUCGUACCAUAGCCCGAACCUAUGUUACAAGAUUAGAAUGUCCUUUGAGAUUUCCAACCAUUUACUUUCUUUAUAGUGACGACUGAAAGUAGGGGAAAUCCUAUGGUAUGACACUCGUUGCAUAGAGAUUUCUUAUUCGAGGGAGAGAGUUUUUAUACUUAAUAGUCCUUCUUGCAUAUUUGGUAUCUUGGUGUAUGGAAUUCUCUUUCUUUGAGGUUGGCAUAUGAAAUAAGUUGAGGUGGGUAAUUUCGUCACCUCCCAAGGAAUGAAGCAAGUGGUGUAAAGAUUAGUUGUGGUUAAAAGGGAGUCACUUCUAGAGUAUUAGUUUUUGUUGCUUGGUUUCUCUUUGAAGUCUUCUGUACCCUUAGAUAUGGCAUUUCAUGACGAGUGGUGUAGUGAAAAUUAUCUCAGCACAUUUGUAAUGAGUUACUUAUUAUAGUGACUAAGAUUAAAGUCAUUGUGAUCUUUAAGGCGUGAAGUUUGGGCAUCGAUGAUUUGAAUGAAACAUAAUUGUGCUUAAAUGCACUAAGAUCCACACUUUGUAGGUAUAGAGUUGAUGAGAUAGAAUGAUGUAGAUUGGAGCUUAAAAUGAUCAAAAGGAUGCAAGAGAAGUGAAAAUGAAGACCUAGAGUAGAAUGGCCGCAGUUACUGAGGUCGCGGUCUGGUAACCGCGAUCGCGACAAUCAUGUGCGGUCAAUCAACCACGGUCAUGUGAACUGCUAGCGGUUGUGGUAGCUGUGGUUGUGGCCAAGCUGGUAGGGUCGCAACUUAGCGGAAGAUUGCAGCCCAAGGGAAAAACUAGAAAUACACAUGGCUGAUCCCAAUUUUGACAAAAAGGCUCAAACUUUAGAAUUAUUCAUCAUAUUCCAUCUUUCCCAAAUAGUUAGGUUUUGUUCUUGAGUUGAUCACCUCCAUUGUUAGAGAAGAAAAUAUUGUAUAGUUUUUGGGUGAAUAAUACUUUGGAGACCUUCUAAGUGGAGGAAUAGCUCACUUCUAUUGGAGAUUUUUGGGAGUUCAAAGUUUUAGGAAACAUUCACUUUAGCUUCAAUAAACCAUUUUAAUGGAGUUAUGGAAAUAUAUUUGCUUAUUUAUCUUAUGUGUAGGAUCUACCUCUUGGCGUUAUGUGUGAAUAAUGAUUUAAGUGUGCGUGAUUUGGUAUUGUUAUCUUCUAUUUGGUUGUUCAUGUUGAUAGAUUUUAUCAUUGCUUGACUAGUUUGUUUGGGAUUUGUGGGCGAAAGCCUUAAAUAACCAUAUGGGUUUGAUGGGUGAAAGCUCUGAACUCUAGAAAUUUCAAGGCCAUCUUCAAAAGAAGGUUUUUGGAUGAAUUUUAGGAAUCCACAUCAUCCUUGAAAGAAGGAUGUAGAGACCAAAGCAAUGAUAGACAAUUAUGUGUAUAGUUUGCUAAUCUAUGACUAUCUUAGACAUAAGAGUGGUUGCGAAGUAGACUAUACUAUGAGUAUUAUCCUAGAAAUAGGGAUUCCUAAAUUAAGGUUUGGUUACCAAUUGUUGAGCACACAUACUUGGUAUUCGAAAGAAUCAAUGGGUGCAAGUUUGGGGUUUUGCUAAAAGACUAGCUUCAAAGCCUAUAACCGAAUCUACCCACACUUGAUCUAAUAGAAUAAAGUUAACUAUUAGCAUCCACAUGUCACCCCUUAUUAAUACAUAAUCCCAAGAUCCGUACCUAAUUGAUAAAACUCUAAUUAUUUGUAGUCCCGAAUUUAUACUAGAAAAUAGUAAAAAGAAACAUUAUUGUAGGUUCCUAUCUCCCCUAUUUGUAUCUUUUUGUACUAUUGGCUUGAAUUAUACUUAUAUCUACUAUUUUAAAUUAACUUGAUUUUCACUCACAUUGUUCCUCAUGGAUUCUACCCUGACUCUAAAGUUGGGUAAAUUUAUUGAUGACAACUGCCUUGCACUUAAAUUGACGUGUAAGUUGAGCGUUAUCAGACUGUAGUACGUGUUCACUAAAAAUGAGAUUAAUAUCAGGCAGAGAAGGUGACUUGAGUUUCUAAAGAACUAUGAUAUAAGUCUUCACUACCAUCCAAGUAAAGCUAAUAUAGUUGUUGAUGCUUUUAGCUGGUUUUCCAUGGAAAGCUUAUCACAUGUGGAUAAGUAUAAGUGGGAAUUAGUGAAGGAUAUUCACAAUUUCGCUAAUAUAGGAGUUCAUAUCUUGUACUCUAAAGAUGGUGGUGUGUUUGUGCAACAGGGGGUGCAAUCAUCUCUUUUUUCGGAAAUAAAAGAGAAAUUUGUAUUAGAUCUUCUUUUGGUGAAGAUCAAGCAUGAUAUAGGUACACAGAAGGUGCUAGACUAUGUGAUUAGCGGUGAUGGUAUCUUGAGGUACUGAGGGACAUUGUAUUUUCCCAACAUAGAUGUGUUGUGAGGAAGGAUUUUUUCCAAGGCCCAUGAAUCACAGUAUAACUUUUUAUCUAAGUGUAUGGUGUGUCAGCAGGUACAGCUGGAGUACAUGAAACCCGGUGGGCUACUUUAAGAGAUUAAAUUACUAGUGUGGAAAUUGGAUGUAAUUAAUAUGGAUUUCCUUACUGGUUUUCUGUGGUCAUGGAAUUAGCGUGACUCCAUUUGGUUCAUCAUAGAUAGGAUGACUAAGUCUACUUACUUUUUGCCAGUGAGGACAAAUUAUUCUAUCUAGGACUAUGCAAAGUUGUUCCUUCAAAAGGUUGUGAAGUUGCAUGGUGCACCGAUCUAGAUUAUUUUUGACCGUGGUACUCAAUUCUCAUCACAUUUCUUGCACUCUUUUCUACAUGGUUUGAAGAUUAAAGUGAGUCUUAGUACGACGUUUCACAUGCAGUCGGAUGGGCAAGCUAAAAGGACUAUUCAGACUUUGGAAAAUAUUUCGCGAUCCUGUGUGAUUGACUUUGGUGUGUAGUUGGCUCGAGCACUUGCCUGUCAUUGAAUUUUCCUAUAAGAAUAGUUACCAUUCUACUUUGGUAUGGCCAUAUUUGAGGUAUUUUAUGGAAGGAGUUGUAGAUAUCCUAUUGAGUUGUUCGAGGUUGGUGAAAGAGAAAUGCUUGGGCCAGAUUUGGUUCACCAAGCUAUGGAGAAAGUGAAGGUGAUUCGAGAUAGUGUUAACACCGCCCAAAGUCUCGAAAAGUCCUAUAUAGAUGUAAGGAGAAGGGACUUGGAAUUUGAGGUUGGACAUUGGGUGUUUUUGAAGUUAUCUCUCAUGAAGGGAGUGAUGUAAUUCAAGAAGAAUGGGAAGCUCAGUCCCCGGUAUGUUGGCUCGUAUUUGUAUAUGAGGAGAGUUCGUAGUGUUUCACAUGAGUCGGAUUUUCCCUCUAGCAUGACUUCCAUUCAUUCGGUAUUCCAUGUGUCCAUGUUGCGGAAAUACAUGGGUGAUCCUUCGUUGGUUUUUUCCUUAGACAACAUUGGUAUUUCGAAUUGUUUUUCCUAUGUGGAUGUCCCGAUGAGAAUCUUAGAUAGGAAAGUUUGUUGGUUGUAAAUGAAAGACAUAGCUUUAUUGAAAGUUCUAUGGCAGAACCAAGAAUCUGAGAAAGCUACUUGGGAAGCGGAGGAGGACAUGAAGUCCAAGUAUCCGUCCUAUUCCUGAUUUCGAAAAUUUGUGCUUGGGGUAUGUGUUGUUCCUAACAUCUUUGUUUUCCAACUUUGUUAAAGAAAAUAUUGAUUUCCUUAAUAUAUUUGUUUUAUAAAUUUGUUAAAGGUUUGAGUAGAGGUAUAAUAAGUCCAAUCAUGCUUGUGUUUCCUUGACCCAUCAUUCGAGGAUGAAUGAUCCUAAGUAGGGGAGACUGAAAUGGCUUGAAAUUUGGUCUUUGCAAAUUCUAAAGCCUUGAACUUUCUGUUCAUCAGAAGACUCACACCAAAAGUCAUAUGGUGUGGUGAUAGGUCUAGGGACCCUGGUCUUAUGUUGGUCAGAAUGUUUCUGACCAAGUUUUGUCCUAGUAAUGAGAGACUCCAUAUGAGUCGUAUGCUUAUGUAAUGAGAGAUUUAGGGUCAAAUAGUAUGUUGUCUAAUGUCUAGCCCUUAAUGUUUUACCUUGGAUACAACUUAAUGGUACUAGUCAUAUAGUAUGGUAGGGAAAUGGAGUUGUUAGUUGGACAGAAUGUGACGAAUUGAAGGUACCACUCAUAUGAUGUGGUGACGAGUUGGAUGGUCAACUCAUACCCACCUGCGAGUUUUCAGUGACUUUUAGGAUGAGGGUAUUUUUAACUUUUCCCACCCAAAGCCUUUAAGAACCGACAUCUUAUAAUACUUAUUGGGUAUUCGUUCUAUAUUUUAGAUGAUUAAAACACUCCCUAAACACUCUCUAAGAACCUCUCAAGAAGAUUGGGCUUGGUUUUAUUCAAGGUGGUCAUAUAGAAGUCUAAUGAUUAAAUUCUCUCUAUGAAUUAUUGUAACUCAGACAUGUGACUCUUUCUUCCUUGUUAGUUCACUAAAAUCAUGUGUUUUAAACAUUGUUCAUAAAUCAUUAAUGGUGGUUUUGAAAACCAUGGUUAAGGGUUUGAAUUCAUAAUCUUGAGUAUAGUUUUCUUAUGGUUUACAUUACGAUUAUACAUGUUUAGAUAAUCUUAAGUAUUGUGAUUUAAACUAAGCGGUCAUGGUUAACCCUAACUUUAUGUGUUUCAACUUGAAUAAUGGUUUGAUAAUGGUAUGCCCUCAACCUGUUUGAGAAAUUAUCUAUGAGAAUUAUUUUGUACAUGUUUAUUUGUGGUUGAACUAAGACAUUAGCCUAAUAAUGUAAGUGGUUGGUAAAUUGGUUUUAUGAAAACCUUGUUGGCCAUAAAUUGGUUUGAAUUGAUAAAUAAGCUCGAGUCCGUAAAUAUUGAAAAGAAUUGAUGUCUUUGCUUUUACAAUGGGUUCGAGUCCAAAAGUUGAUUAAUAAUGGUUAUGGUAUGUUGUACGAUUGCAAGUGGGGUGGGUAUGACGAUACCAAAUGAAUGCCUUUGGUAAGUAAUUUGAUUAAUGGUUGUGUAUAUGUGUAAUGAAUGUUUUAAUUGGAUUAUAAAGCAGGAUGUGUAGAAGGGCUAUGAAAGUGAAGUCUGUAGGACAAACACUGGAAACUACACUAGCUGGUCCGGGUGUCUAUAUGAUCAGGAUGUUUGAGUCUGCCAAAUAAAAAUAUGAAUGGGAGGUUCAAGUCCCCCAUAUUGUAUAUAUUAGUACUUAAGUCACCUUGAUUAUGACUGGAGGUCCAAGUCUCCCAUAAAGGCAUAUAAAGAUAUAGAUACUCUCUUGUUCAUGCAGCUAAAUACACUGGGGCCCUUCCAACUGGGGGAGAGCUGGGAGAACAUAUAGCUAUUGGGUGCCGUACUAUAUGAUGAUUAUUAUACAAAACCAAGAUUAAGAUUUUUUAAAUGCAAUUUAAGCCUUGUUUCCAUCCCAGCAUAAUAUAUAUGUAUGGAUUUAUAUGAUUGCAUAAGGUCAUUUGGCUUGGUUUUUAAUGAUGACAUUAUUUUCUUCUUCUAUACCUGAGUUGCAUGCUCACUCAAACUGCUAACCAUCUUCAGAUGUUAUAUCUCAAUGCAAUACAGGUGCCAAAAUUUUCUAUACUUUUCCUAUACAGUGAUCACGUGUUUGAGUGGUUUAUGAGUGGACAUUGAGGUGGUAAGAUUCCAUACAUCAGAAGGCUUCAUUUCAUGGUCUUAAUAUUCUAUGUCUCAGACUUUUUUUAGACUUUGUUUUGGUUAUUGUCGGGGCAUGUCCCAUCAUUUUAUUGACUUCAGAUUUUUAGAGGCUUUGUUGGAUUACUAUGCACAUGGGUGUGCUGUUUUGGUGGAUUGUCUCGGUGAUGAAUGGUUGUUCGGUUACUGGUGAUUGGCUCAGACAUUUCAUGGAUAAAUAUUAGUCUUAGUUUAUACUAUCUUGUUAUAUAUUAAAAUUCACCUGACACUUUAAGUUGUUAAGCUGACUAGGUUAGGUGAAGGAGGUGAUCUAUGGUCUUUGUGGGACAUGAGAUACUUAUUACAGCCAGGCCCUGGUUUGGGUUAUGACAUAAGCAUAUGUACAAAUUAUACUACCCUAAAAAAGAAAAUAUCUAGCAUAUUACUCAUAUGCCCUCACAAUAAAGAAGUCCCACUCACUCAUAUAAAAUCAUACAUGUCAAUACAGGGACAAUCAAGAGACACUCAUCCUCAAAAGAGAAAUUCCAAUCAAUGUGCAUCAAAUACCAUAGGCUUGCCCUUAUUUUUUACCUUAGUUUUCAAACAGUUAGGCUAGGAUCACUAUAGAAAUUGUCUCAGCUUAUAAUGUAGGCUUGGGGGAUGGAAUAGUACAUAUGGACAUAUCAAGUUACUACGCCUUCGUGUCACUACACUAACACUGGGGUCUCACUUAUUUACCAAUUUCCUUUUAUUCCACCCUUAUUUAUCCCCUUUUUCCUUUAUCGCAAAUUCAGGUAGGGUGUGGUCUUUUAUUCUUUCUUUCUAACUUAUUGAAAAUUUUCCUUUUCUUUUCCUUUUUCUCUUUCUUUUUACCACACACAACCCUACUAUGUUUUUCUCUUAUUUUAACCUUUUUCAUACCCAUUUAACACUAUGUACUUCUAUGAUAGCCUCCCUCAACUUAGGCAUUUUUCCUGAGUUGAGGUGCAUAAUUUCUAAGGAGAACCAGGGCCAAAACAGGUUCAUUGUAAUACAGAUAGGUAGGUGAAAGGUGUAAUAAAAACAAUAAGCUAUAAGGCUCAAAAUAGGGAACAAGGGAUACUAUUUCGCAUACAAAAGGACAUUUAGGAUAAAAGGGGACAAAAAAUAAAAAAACGGCCUAUAAUACCUUCCUAAACGACAAUUCUACAAUGUAGGCAAGAGUAACCGGACAAGUUCUAGAUUUCACACACAAAGGGAACUAAGUAGCAUCUCACACACAUGGCCCAAAGUCAAUAUUACCAGCUACUACUUUUCCGGUUCAUGUAAUUAAUAGCAAGUGAUUAUCAUGUCCCUAAUCCUAAUGCCCUAACAAGAUCCAAUAAUGUUCACACAUAUAUACGUUCAGACAGUUAUUACAACACACAUUUUUUGGAGGGGUGUCAUUUCUCAUAAAUCCAUAAAUACAUGAUAACUGCCCUAAAUACUCAAAAACUCCUAAUUACACAAAACAUAUCACAAUACAAUGUAAAACACCAUAUUACGCAAGUUAUCCUAGACAUGUCGAUUCUAAAAACAUAUCACGGUUGACAAGAAAAAAACCAUGACAACAAAAACCUAUGGCGGCUACGGUACAUCCCACCCUAACUAAUAAAUUGCACACAAUUCUCAAUGCACAAAAAUAAUAUAAAAUAGAGGAAAGUGAGAACAUAACUGGGAUACGCUAAGUGAUUGUAACGACCUGAAAUCACCUACCGGAACGUCACACAUUGCCUAGGGUCUCAAGUGACCCUAAGCUAACCCUUCUAUAGUUACAACUCAUAAGCAACGAAAUAAAAUGCAUAAAUCUAAAAGAAUAAGGUGGAAAAGAACUCUAAUACAAAUUUUCUCAAUACAAAUCUGAAGUCACAAGGCUACAACUCUGCUUUUACAAUAAAACUGAGACUCAUUACAUCAACUCCUACCGAUUAUCUAUGAAGUCUCUACUAGCACUGACCAUGGGUAACUGGGUUAUGACUCCCAACCACCCCAACUCAAUAUGACUGAAUAAGGAAAAUACAACACUUUCCUUUUAUAUUACUGACUUGUGGCCCUGAAUCAAAAGGACCCAUCACCUGAUGACUAGAAGCUGCGAACUGAUUGGACGUGGUACAUGCGCUACAAUCUUGUAGCUACAUUAUGAGACAAUGUAGCACAUAGACGUAUAUGUGAAUCAGUACUUUGAGGAUGUACUGAGUAUGUGGAAGUGAAUGCAUAUGUAUAAAAUAGUUUCAAUCUUCUUUAAUCAAGUCAUGCAUGCAAUAUGGGAUGACUAACAUGGCUUGAAAAAGUAUAAAAUGUAAAGCUCAUAAAUCAUGUAGAAUGAAACAUGUAACACAAUCUCAUGAGUGAUCAUUAUUUAACUUCAAAAUUUGAAACCUUCUCUUACUCUCAAUGCCUAAAGGCUAACGGAUUUCAAACCACACUUUCAAGUUAUGCAUAUAUCUCAAGAGAGUAAAAGUUCUUCAAUGCUCAACACUUCACAAUCAUUUAGAAUCUCAUAUACUUGAAAUUCGAAUUAAUAAAACUUGAAAACAUACUUCAAGGCAUUUCAUUCACUUUAGAAAAUAUCUUAUCUCAAAUCAAUACCUUGAUUAGGGAAUAUCUUUGCAAUUCAACCAUUUGGGAAAAUAGCUUAUAGGGAAGGAAAAUAAUAUUUAAUUUCAAAGUUCAAAAGGCAAGGGAGGUUCUCGUAACCGACAUAAACCAUGCGAGCUACAUGGAGUCCAACAUUUCGUCUUCGUAAAGAAGAGACCCCACGUUAGGAAGAGUCAUACUCUUUCCAAGGAGUAUAAUCUUGGUCUAGUGAUCACUAAACAAAAAUUGGUCUCAGGCCUACGUAAUAAAAUUGGCCUCAGGCCUACUCAUAAUCAUUAUAUAAUCUGCCUAAGGCUCAAAUCCAUCGGUGGCAUGUAGUUUUGGGGUAAGAAACCAUAGUAACUUACCCACUCGGUGCUAAAUACUACUCCCUUUAAAUUAUCUACGCUCAUCUAAAAAAAUCCACUUUUAGAAUAAUCACAUGGUUCACCACGAACCCAAUAAUAAAAUCGAUAAUCUCAUAUAGUGAAGUGAAUUUCAAAGCUCAAGAACCAUUAGGUCAAUUCAUUUCUCAAUCAUCUAGAAAUACUCAAAACAUGGGUGCUCAUAGUACAAGAGUUCAUAAUUUCAUAAGUCUCGAAUAGAGCUUACUAAACCAUGGUUCAAUUUCAAGUUAAAGCUUAUCAAAAGCAUAAUAUAUAGCAUAUAGAUUCAUAAAUCAUGUAGAAACCUGGAACUUUCAGCAAUUCAUCUCAAAAUCUUAAUGUAGUCAUAUGCUUCAAUAUCUCAACAUUUCAGAUAUAAGCUUCUCAAGGAGUAAAGUCAUGGGGUUUAUCAAGCUGUAAAAACUAAAGAAAAGAUGUAGAAAUCAUGCCAUUUAACUCUCAAUUCAUGAGAAAUAUCAACAUAAUGCAUUCAAUGAUUAUGUGUGAAAACCCCAAUUCAAACUUAUGUAAAAACCCCAUAAUUUCAGCAAAAUCAUGAUGUAAAUAAACAUUUUGGGCACAAGGGUGAAAGGGUUACCCUUGUUGAAAACCCCACAUAUCUUGAAUUUGAAGCUUUAGAAGAAUUCUCACUUUUGGAACUCUACUGUUGCUCUAGAAUGAGGAUUCUUGAGAUCCUUCACUUGGGAACCUAGAAUCUUGACUCAAUUUAGAAAAUCCAUGGUGGAUUCUUAAGAUUUAUGGAAAAGGUUUUAAGUGUUUAGGGUUGUUAUUAUGAGGAUACUUGAUAAAACCCUCAUAGAAUGCUUGCAAAUGGGUUUAAUCUAGUGUUACCAUGAUUUUAUAGGCUUGGAAAAAGUCCAGAAUGCCCAUUUUAAACAUCUGUGCGAAACUAGAGAAAUUUAACUGGAACCCGAUUUCACUAGCCUCCGCGACGCACCACUAAUUGCGUUGGCUCUCUGAAAAUUGAAAAUUCCUAAAUCAACCAUCUCCGCGAUGCGCCACUCACUCAAAUGAUGCAAUUUCAUGAAUAAGGAUUAAAUUAGUCAUAAUGUCUUACCCGGGUGUCGAAUUUGGGCAAAUCUUAUAUCGAUGGAAAGCUUAUCAGAUUUUCCACGUGAUAAAAAAAAAUUAAAAUUAGGAAAAUUCUACAUGGUUAACACAUUACUCACUUAGGAAGCAACUUCUUAAUCUUUUAAGGCUGGAAUCACGCCUUACUCGUAAUGCGCUACGACUCAAACUACGAGGAAAAUUUGCGGGGCUUUACAAUAUCUCCCCCUUGGGAACAUUCAUCCUCGAAUGUCGCUAGUUAGGCUCAAAAUGCAGGAAGAACUGAGUACACACAGCUAAAACAAUUGCUAAAUGGUUCAAGGUCUUCUAAAAUUCAUGACCACUCCGGAUAUCGCAAGAACUCAUACAAAGGUAGAUGCAUAGCUGAAAUACAUGUCAAAUUGAAUCUAUACCUUUUUAAAAUCGGCACACUUGAAGAAUACCUAUAUUCACGAUAGGAAUAACUAUGUAGUUGAAUCUCAGUUUAGAGAGAAGCUAAAUGAAGGAAUGGUGUUACCUUCGUCUGAAUCUGGGCUAUCUUGCCUUAGUCUUAUAACGAAGAGUUAACUCAUGCUGAAUUCAAAGCAUGCGAUCAUCGACUGACUAAAUCUUGGAUUAAACCUCCUUAACGUAUUAUCCCUUAACCUACUAUCAAUGAUAAGAAAUGAUAAUAUCUUAGAGCAGAAAUAUUUAGCAGGAAAUCUCUGACACUAACAAAGAAGAUAAUCAACUGAACUGGAAACGGAGGUAAAGCCUAUCUAACGGGUGGCUUCUGGUGCUAAUAACAAGAAUACUCAAUCGAAUCUGGGAUUGAGUUCAAGUCCAUCUAGAGAGUGACCUUGGAAUAAUAAUAAGAAUACUCAACGGCAUCUGAGAUCAAACCUAUCUAACGGGUUAUCUAAGAAUCUGAUAACACUGAUACUGAAGCUGAUUAACUAAGUCUACUCGCAUGAAUAGUUGAAUUCCCUUGGUGCCGUUUAUCUAAUGGAAUAAUACCAAACUCUAAAUAGAGUAAUCGAAUACUGCUAAGGUUUACAUUGAACACGGGUAUACUACUGGAUCUGAGCAGGGUACCAAAUCGAGGCUAGAACGCUAAUGAUACUGAGAUUACUCAAGUUCCAUAGCUGCCUGAGAGUCCUGAGUUCUAUAACUCACGAACUUCUGAGAAUCAUGGCUCGACUGAUAUCAUCAUGAAAACUGAUAUGGGAUCUAGACAUCAUCUAAAUUAUAAGGAACAUAUACCCCCAGGACUCGGUAAUAUAAAAUUAAAACCUAACCAUUCUUGACUAGUCAUGACCACGGUCAUUCAUUCAUCAUCACAAUCACUAAAGUAUCACUUCAUGUAUUUAGGAAUCAUAGACAUGCGAUAAUAUAGGGAUACAUGCCCUAGACUCACAUUCCAUUCUAAAAGGUCUUGUGUCAAGCACUUAGCACAUAUUUGGGUCUUGGCAUGUAUCAUAGAACACAUAAUUGGGGAAACUUCAUGUUAUCACAUCAUAACUCAUCCAACAAACACUUAGCAUGUAUCAAAGGUUUAACAUGUAUCAAAGAGAACCUAAUUAGGGGAUUUCAUACUACCUUUUCACCAUCUAUUCACUAAGGCUUUCCAACAACCACUUGGCAUGCAUGCGCUUGCACACAAUUGGGGUUUCCUAGUCAACAUGCCAUAAUGGCUCUAAUUCCUUCACAUAAUCAUUCCAUCAAAUAUAUAUAUAGGGAGCAUGCCUUGCUUAUUCAACAAUUUCUUCACUAAAUUGGAAUGAACAUAUCAUCUAACAAGAAACGUGAUAAGGGUUUUCGAUGGACAUCACAUGAAUAUCACAUACUAGGGUCAAAGCAUGAUAAACUUAUAAACAAACAUGAUUCACGUCUCAAUCAUAGCAUGGACAUCAAUUUCAACACACAUGAAUCAGGGAAAUUCAUAAACAUAAAAAAUCUUUGAUCUUUAGAAAAGGGUUCUAGAGUUUCUUAGAUAAGAGGAACCCAUGAAUCAAAAUCUACAUGCGACAAUAUUCCCCAGCAUGACACGUCUACUCUCUCCUAUCAACACAACUGUCCAUAUUUCCAUCGCAACCUAAGGAAGAGGUCGCUAAAAAGUUAGAACAUGUGGACCUGAAGCAUGAAGGGACAUUGUACUUAACUUGGCACUCAACUGAGGCUUGAGGCCUUUAACAUCAUGAAAUUAUCGAAGUAGUCUAACCCAAGGACAUGCAUGGUAUAAAUAUGGACUUUGUGAAUUACUAAAAGCAUUGCCCAAGUACUUAAGUCAUGAGUUGCAUGACCUGAAUUUGGAGUUCAGAACUCAUGGGAUGUGAUCCUGACUGCCAAAUGCACCAGAACUCCCCAUUUUAUGAACUAGGAGAGUACAUAACUCUCUAUCAUAUGCAUGAACAUAAAUUAGGAUCAUGGAUCAGAAAUGUAAAACUUGAGAAGGUAUUGGGACAACUUAAAGUACUUAAAUAAGAUAGGGUCAAGCAUCAAUAUUUCUCAAAGCUAUUCUACGCUCACUGGUAUGUCUACUAAAAUCUUAAGGUCUGUCCCUGUCACCGACUCUAUCAUCUCCCCCUUAGACUAAAGCAAUCAAUCCAAGGCGGUGAACCACCAUAUAAACUCUGGUCUGACUGUCGUUAUCUUGCUCUAGAGUUGGGGACAUAACAAUACACAUAAACAAAGGAACUUGGUUCAAACGACUACACUUCAAAGCGCAACACAUCAACACAACAACCACAAUAACAACAACAGACCCAAUAUAUUCCCACAUAAGUGGAGUCUGGGGAGGGUAGAUUAUACGUAGUCUAUACCACUACCUUUAAAGAAGUAGAGAGACUGUUUUUGAUAGACCUCCGGCUCAAGAUAGAAAGGUAGUAUACAAAGGCUUCAAUAACAUAGGAUACCAUAAAACAACAUAGGUACGAUAUCCACAAUGAAUUACACAUUGUAAAACCAAGGACACCAAUUCCUACCUAAUCACCGACAAUGACUCAUCCACACUCUUAGCCCUCUAUCCGAAUGCUUUUUCUCCAAAUCUUCCUAUCUAGGGUCAUUUCCUCAGUCAGCUGCAACUGCCCCAUGUCACGCUCUAUAACAUCACUUCCCAAAGUGUAAUACCAACUUAUAUAACUACCUCCUGGGAUACACAUUAUCCGUCUAUAGCCCCAACAGUCAUCAUUUACUACUUAACGCUUAGAACGGGCACCUCUAAAUCUCUGAUGGACCACACCACUCCUACCAUAAACUAUUACUACAUUGCCUAUAACUUAUGUUUCUGGACCAUAAGAAACAAAUCACACACAACGCCAUCAUUCAUAACUCCUGAACUUUGCUAUCACGGACAUCACUAUCUCCCUAGUCACUCCUAGCAACUCAGCGCCACUACUAACCAGAUAACAUGCAAUAAUCCUUGAUGAGCAAUGCAACCUCAAGGAACCUUGCACACACUUCUACAUCAUACUUACAAUAUCGAACUUCAUUGAAAACCAAACAAACUUAGGCCUUUGUACAUACUGUUAAAGCCUAUUAGAUCACUUCCCUAUAAACUAGUACCAUCAAUCAAGAAGUCGUCUCCUCCAUUUUCAUGACACCAAUCAUUCAAACUUAGUGUCUAGCGCUAAUCUCACUUGGACGUUAUGAAAUAAAACAUCAACAAUACUCAAAAACCGCAUGCCCACUCGAACUUCAUAACCAAUAAUAAUCAAUCGCAAUCACAUGGCCCAUCUUAUUUCCAAUUCAUCAACACAUCCUUCUUUUACACAUCAUUACUAUCCACCUAUUUAUACAUCCCCAACUUAGUUCAUAGCCCUAUUAGUUUCGACCAAACCCUAUCUUACAAUUCUCAAGUACCCUCAAAUUACAACACCCAUCCAUCAAGUACUUUCAUCAAUAACUCAUACUUUCCAAUGCCACAAUCAUCAUCAAAAACUCUUUUCAUACUCCAAGCAGCAAUAUUUUUUAAAUAAGCAAGGACAUAGGACUUCAUUCCUAGCCUAAACAUACAACAAAAUUCAGCUAUACAUAUAAACAUAUAAAUACAAUAAUUGGCCCUAACCACUUUUCUUGUCACCACUACUCUAAACACCCAAGUUUCUAUAAAUACAAGAAUAACAAGACGCAUAUAAGUUGCUACUGGAUCGAAAUAGGGCCUCACACGGCUCCACUAAACUUUGGUUUUGUUCUUUGACCAAGAAAAUAAGAUGAAAAACAAAGCAGCUACGCUAGUUAAUCGAAAGAGCUCCACACGGCUUCAGUAAACUUGAUUUUCUUGUCAAAAAUACAAUUAUACAAAGAUUAUAUAUUAGAAAAGAUAGAAAACUUGACACUCAACAUUGAAUAAUCUACAAAUACAUAUCUCAUUCUGUCUCACUUAUAAGACCCAUAAGAGUAAGGAUAUAACUUUAAACAUGAGGGACUCAUGACACACUGGAAGGCCCUUAUCAAGCCACUCUCAGAGACCUCUGUAACAUAUUACUCACCAAUCUGAGAACAUUAUCUGGAAGGGAACCAAAACUUAGCAAUAAUGAUAUCUAAAGAGUUAUACAUAGGUAAGGAAGUAUAGCUCCACAUCAUGGAUUCAGAGAAGGAAUCUAAAAUAACCUCUGGCUUGGGCUUAGUGCCUGACUUUUUUUAAAAAAAUCAUGAAUAAUACAGUUCAAUCAUUGGAACUCAAAAGCAUUGGUGAGAUACUUUCUAACUCAAUUACAAUCCCACUACUAUUUGUAAGGAUUCAAUCUUAACUAUUUCUGAUACCUUAAAAAUAAGGCGAAGGUGGCCUGAAUAGAGGAGAUUAAGGAUCUGCAUAAAUGCAUAGAGAAUCUCUCUAUAGCACGCUCUAAGACUCAAAAGAAUAGUGAUAUUUCCUAAAUGCAUUGUAGACUCUUGAAGAAAAGUCCAAAUGUCUCCGUACCAUUCUUCAAGACUCUACUAGACACGGCUUCAUAGACACCCUGGGAUACUUGAACUUUGUGCUCUGAUACCAAGUUUGUAACAAACCAAAAUUUUCUUCCGGGACGUCACAUGAUUCGUAGGGUCUCAAGUUACCCCAAGCUAACCCUUCUACUGGCACAACUCAUAAGCAACAGAAUAUAAUGCAUAAAUUUGAAAGAAUAAGGUGGAAAAGAACUCUAAUACGAAUUUGCUCAAUACAAAUCUGAAGUUAUAAGGUUGCAACUCUGCUUUUACAAUAAAACUGUGACUCAAUACAUCAACUCCUACUGACUAUCUAUGAAGCCUCUACUAGUACGGACUACGGGUAGCUCGGUCAUGACUCCCAACCACCACAACUCAAUACGACCAAAUAAGGAAAAUACAAUACUUUUCUAUUAUAUCACUGACAUAUGGCCCUGAAUCAAAAGGACCCAUCACCUGAUGAUUGAAAGCUACGAAUUGAUUGGACGUGGUACAUCCGCUACAAUCUUGUACCUACAUUCUGAGACAAUGUAGUACAUAUACUUAAAUGUGAAUCAGUACUUUGAGGAUUUACUAAGUAUAUGGGGGUGAAUAUAUAUAUAUGUAUAUAUAUAUAUAAUAGUGUCAAUCUUCUUCAAUCAAGUCAUGCGUGCAAUAUGGGAUGCCUCACAUGGCUUGAAAAAGUAUAAAAUGUAAAGCUCAUAAAUCAUGUAAAAUGAAGCAUGUAACACAAUCUCGUGAGUCAUCAUAAUUUAACUUCAAAAUUGGAAGCCUUCUCUUACUCUCAAUGCCCAAAGGCUAAAUGAUUUAAAACCACACAUUAAAGUCAUGCAUAUAUCUCAAGGUAGUAGAAGUUCUUCUAUGCUCAACACUUCACAAUCAUUUAGAAACUCAAUACUUUGAAUUCAAAAUCUUAAAACUUGAAAACAUACAUGAAUGCAUUCAUUCACUUUAAAAAACAUCUCAUCUCAAAUCAAUACCUUUAUUAGGGAAUAUCUUUGCAAUUCAACCAUUUAGGAAAAUAGUUUAUAGGGAAGAAAAAUAAGCAUUUAAUUUCGAAGUUCGAAAGGCAAGGGAGGUUUGCAUAACUGACAUAAACCAUGCGAGCUACAUAGAGUUAAAUGUUUUUUUCUUCUAAGAAAGAGACCCCACGUUAAGGAGGAGCGUCAUACUCUUGCCAAUGAGUAUAACCUAGGUCUAGUGAUCACUAAAGGAAAAUCGGCCUCAGGCCUACAUAAUCAAAUUGGCCUUAGGCCCACUCAUAAUCAUAAUAUAAUCAGCCUCAGGCUCACAUCCUACGGUGUCACGUAGUUUUGGGGUAAGAAACCAUAGUAACUUACCCACUCGGUGCUAAAUACUACUCCCUUUCGAUUAUCUGUGCUCAUCUCAAAAGGUCCACUUUUAGAAUAAUCACAUGGUUCACCACGAACCCAAUAAUGAAAUUGAUAAUCUUAUAUAGUGAAGUGGAUUUCAAAGCUCAAGGACCAUUAUGUCAAUUCAUUUCUCAAUCAUCUCAAAAUAUUCAAAACAUGGGUGUUCAUAGCACAAGAAUUCAUAAUUACAUAAGUCUCGAAUAGGGCUUACUAACCCAUAGUUUAAUUUCAAGUUAAAGCUUAUCAAAAGCAUAAUAUAUAGCAUAUAGAUUCAUAAAUCAUGUGGAAAUCUGGGAAUUUCAGCAAUUUAUCUCAAUAUCUCAAUGUAGUCAUAUGCUUCAAUAUCUCAACAUUUCAAAUAUAAGUUUCUCAAAGAGUAAAGUCAUAGGGUUUAUCCAGCUGUGAAAACUCAAGAAAACAUGUAGAAAUCAUGCCAUUUAAUUCUCAAUUCAUGAGAAAUAUCAACAUAAUUCAUUCAAUAAAUAUGGUUGAAAACCCUAAUUCAAACUCAUGUAAAAACCCCAUUAUUUCAGCAAAAUCAUGAUAUAAAUAAACAUUUUGGGCACAAGGGUGAAAGGAUUACCCUUGUUCAAAACCCCACAUACCUUGAAUUUGAAACUUUAGAAGAACUCUCACUUUUGGAACUCUACUCUUGCUCUAGAAUGAAGAUUCUUGAGACCCUUCACUCGGGAACCUAGAAUCUUGACUCAAUUUAGAAAAUUCAUGGUGGAUUCUUGAUAUUUAUGGAAGAGGUUUUGAGUAUUUAGGGUGGAUACUUGACAAAACCCUCAUAGAAUUCUUGCAAAUGGGUUUAAUCUAGUGUUUCCACGAUUUUAUAGGCUUGAAAAAAGUCAAAAAUGCCCUUUUAAAACAUCUGUCCGAAAUUGGAAAAAUUGAACGGGAACCCGAUUACAUUGGCCUCCCCGACGCGCCACUUAUCGCGUUGGCUCUCUAGAAAUUGACAAUUGCUAAAUCAACCAUCUCCGCGAUUCGGCACUCACUCAAAUGAUGCAAUUUUAUGACUAAGGCUUAAAUUAGUCACUACUUCUUACCCGAGUGUCGGAUUUGGGCAAAUCUUAUAUUCAUGGAAAGCAUAUCAGAUUUUCCACGUGAUAAAAAAUCGAAAUUAGGGAAACUCUACAUGGUUAACAUGAUACUCACUUAGGAAGAAGCUUCUUAAUCUUUUAGUACCGAAAUCAUGCAUCACUCGAUAUGCCCUAUGACUCAAACUAUGUGGGAACUUUGCGGGGCUUUACAAUAUCUCCCCCUUGGGAACAUUUGUCCUCGAAUGUCGCUAGUUAGGCUUAGAAUGCAGGAAUAACUGAGUACACACAACUAAAACAAUUACUAAAUGGUUCAAGGUCUUCCUAAAUUCAUGACCACUCCGAAUAUCGCAAGAACUCAUACAAAGAUAGAUGCAUAGCUGAAAUACUUGUCAAAACGUGAUAAAAAAUCGAAAUUAGGGAAACUCUACAUGGUUAACAUGAUACUCACUUAGGAAGAAGCUUCUUAAUCUUUUAGUACCGGAAUCAUGCAUCACUCGAUAUGCCCUAUGACUCAAACUAUGUGGGAACUUUGCGGGGCUUUACAAUAUCUCCCCCUUGGGAACAUUUGUCCUCGAAUGUCGCUAGUUAGGCUUAGAAUGCAGGAAUAACUGAGUACACACAACUAAAACAAUUACUAAAUGGUUCAAGGUCUUCCUAAAUUCAUGACCACUCCGAAUAUCGCAAGAACUCAUACAAAGAUAGAUGCAUAGCUGAAAUACUUGUCAAAUUGAAUCUAUACCUUUUUAAACCCGACAUACUUGAAUAAUAACUAUAUUUAUGAUAGGAAUAACUAUGUAACUGAAUCUCAGAUUAGAGAGGAGAUGAAUGAAGGAAGGGUGUUACCUUCGUCUGAAUCUGGGCUAUCUUGCCUUAGUCUUAUAACGAAGAGUUAACUUAUGCUGAAUUCAAAGUGUGCGAUCAUCGACACAAAAGAUUACGUUUGAGAUCAACGAUAAGAAAUGAUUAUGUAUGAGAUCAGACCUAUUUAGUGAGAAAUCUCUGAAUCUGACAAAAAAGAUAAUCAACUGGACCUGAAAUGGAGGUCAAGUCUAUCUAACGGUGGCCUCUGGAGCUAAUAAAAGGAAUACUCAAUCGAAUCUAGUAUUGAGAUCAAAUCCAUCUAGAGAUUGACCUUGGAAUAAAAAUAAGAAUACUUAACUGCAUCUGAGAUCAAUCCUAUCUGACGGGUUAUCUCAGAAUCUAAUAACACUUAUACUGAAGAUGAUUAACUAAGUCUACUCGCAUGAAUAGCUGAAUUCCCUUGGUUCCAUUUAUCUGAUGGAAUAAUACUGAACUCAGAAUAGAGUACUCGAAUACUGUUUACACUGAACAUGGGUAUACUACUGGAUCUGAGCAGGGUACAGAACUGAGGCUAGAGCACUAAAGAUACUGAGAUUACUCAAGUUCUAUAACUGCCUGAGAAUCCUGAAUUCUAUAACUCACAAAGUUUUGAGAAUCAUGGCUCGACUGAUAUUAUCGUGAAAACUAACACAGGAUCUAGACAUUGGCUAAAUUGUGGGGUACAUAUACCCCCAGGACUCAAUAACAUAAAAGUAAAACAUAACCAUUCUUGACUAGUCAUGACCACGAUCAUUUAUUCAUCAUCACAAUAACUAAAUCAUCACUUCAUGUAUUUAGGAAUCAUAGACAUGCGAUCAUCUAGGGAUACAUGCUCUCGGCUCACAUUCCGUUCACUAAGUUCUUGCGUCAAGCACUUAGCACGUAUUUGUGUCUUGGCUUGUAUCAUAGAACACAUAAUUGGGGAAACUUCAUAUUAUCACAUCACAACUCAUCCAUCAAACACUUAGCAUGUAUCAAAGGUUUAGCAUGUGUCAAAGAGCACCUAAUUGAGGGAUUUUAUACUACCUUUUUACCAUUUAUUCACUAAGGCUUUCCAAUAACCACUUGGCAUGCAUGAGCUUACACACAAUUGGGGUUUCCUAGUCAACAUGCCAUAAUGGCUUUAAUUCCUUCACGUGAGUAUUUCAUCAAAUAUAUAUAUAAGGAGCAUGCCUUUCUUAUUCAAUAAUUUCUUCACUCAAUUGGCAUGAACACAUCAUCUAACAAGCAACGUGAAGAGGGUUUACCACGAAUAUCACAUGAAUAUCACAUGCUAGGGUCAAACCUUGAUAAACUUGUAAACAAACACGAGUCACGUGUCAAUCAUAGCAUGAACAUCAAUUUUAACUCACAUGAAUCAUGGAAAUUCAUAAACAUAAAAAAUCUUUGAACUUCAGAAAAGGGUUCUAGAGUUUCUUGGAUUAGAGGGACCCAUGAAUCAAAAUCUACAUGCGACUAUCUUCCCUAGCAUGACAUUUCUACUAUCUCCUGUCAGCACAACUGUCCAUUAUUUCCAUCGCGACCUAAGGAAGAGGUCACUGAAAAGUUAGAACAUAUGGACCUGAAGCAUGAAGGGACAUUGUACUUAACUUGGCACUCAACUGAGGCUGAGGCCUUAACAUCAUGAAAUUAUCAUAGCAGUAUAACCCAAGGACAUGCAUGAUAUAAAUCUAGACUUCGUGAAUUACUAAAAGCAUUGCUCGAGUACUUAAGUCAUGAGUUGCAUGACCUGAAUUUGGAGUUCAAAACUCAUGGGAUGUGAUCCUGACUGCCAAAUGUACCAGAACUCCCCAUUUUAUGAACUAGUAGAGUAAAUAACUCUCUAUCAUAUGCAUGAACAUAAAUUAGGAUCAUGGAUCAAAAAUAUAAAACAUGAGCAGGUAUUGGGACAACUUAAAGUACUAAAAUGAGAUUGGGUCAAGCAUCAAUCUUUCUUAAAGCAAUUCUACUGCUCACUGGUACGUCUACUAAAAUCUUAAUGUCUGAACCUGUCACCAACUCUAUCAUCUCCCCCUUAUACUUAAGCCAUCACUCCAAGGUGGUGAACCACCAAAUAAACUCUAGUCUGACUAUCGUCACCUUUCUAUAGAGAUGGGGAUAUAACAAUCCACAUAAAUAAAAGAACUUGGCUCAAAUGACUAUACUUCAAAGCAUAACACAUCACAACAAACAACAUAAUAACAAAGAUAGACCCAAUAUAUUCCUACAUAAGUGGAGUCGUGGGAGGGUAGAUUGUACGCAGUCCAUACCACUACCUUUAAAGAAAUGGAGAGGCAGUGUUUGAUAGACCUCUGGCUCAAGAUAGAAAGGUAGUAUACAAAGGCUUCAAAAACAUAGUACACCAUAAAAUAACAUAGGUACGACAUCCAUGAUGAAUUGUAUAUUGUCAAACCGAGGACAUCAGAGCCCACCUAAUUAUCGACUACGACUCAUCCACACCCUUAGCCCUCUAUCCUUAUGCUAUAUUUCUAAAUCUUCCUAUGAAGGAUCAUGUCCUCAAUCAUUUGCAACUGCCCCAUGUCACGCUCUACCAUAUCACUUUCCAAAAUUUAAUGCCAACUCAUAAAACUAUCUUCUGAGAUACACAUCAUCCAUCUAUAGCACCAAUAAUCAUCAUUUACUACUUAAAGCUUAAACGGGCACCUCUAAAUCUUUGAUAGACCACACCACUUCUACCAUAACCUAUCACUACAUAUCCUAUAACUUAUGUUUCUAGACCAUAAAAAUCAAAUCAUGCAGAACACCUUUAUUCAUAACUCCUUAACUUAGCAAUCACGAACAUCAUUCACUAUCUCCCUAGUCCAAACUAGCAACUCAGUGCCACUACUAACCAGAUAACACACAAUAAUCCUCGAGAGGCAAUGCAACCUCAAGGAACCUUGUGCACAAUUCUACAUCAUACUUACAACAAGGAAUUUGAUUAUGAACCAAAAAAAGCCCACUCGAACUUCAUAACCAAUAAUAAUCAAUCGCAAUCACAUGGCCCAUCUUAUUUCCAAUUCAUCAACACAUCCUUCUUUUACACAUCAUUACUAUCCACCUAUUUAUACAUCCCUAACUUAGUUCAUAGCCCCAUAAGUUUCGACCAAAUCCUAUCUUACAAUUCUCAAGGACGCCUAAAUUACAACACCUAUCCACCAAGUACUUUCAUCAAUAAUUCAUACUUUCCAAUGCCACAAUUAUCAUCAACAACUCUUUUCAUACUCCACGAAGCAAUAUUUCCCAAACAAGCAUGGACAUAGCACUUCAUUCCUAGCCUAAACAUGUAACAAAAUUCAGCUAUACAUAUAAACAUAUAAAUUCAACAACUGGCCCUGACCACUUUUCUUGUCACCACCACUCUAAACCCCCUAGUUUCCACCAAUCCAAAAACAACAAAAUACAUAAUAAGUUGCUAGUGGAUCGAAAUAGGCCUCACACAGCUCCACUAGACUUUGGUUUUGUGUUUUGAAUAAGAAAAUAAGAUAAAAAACAAAGCAACUACGCUAUUAAAUCGAAAGAGCCCUACAUAACUUCACUAGACUUGAUUUUGUUUUCAAAAAUACAAUGAUAACAAGAUUACAUAUUGGUAGAGAUAGAAACUUUACACACAACAUUCAAUGAUCUAUGAAUACAAAUCUCAUUCUAUCUUACUUAUAAGACCCAUAAGAGUAAGGCAAUAACUUUAAACAUGAGGGAUACAUGACACCAGAAGGCCCUUAUCAAGCCACUCUGAGAGACCUCUAUAGCAUAUUACUUACCAAUCUGAGAAUGUUAUCUGGGAGGGAACUGAAACUUAGGAAUAAUGAUAUCUAAAUAGUUAUAAAUAGGUAAGGAAUCAUAGCUCACAUCAUGGAUUCUGAGGAGAAAUUUGAAAGAACCUCUGACUUGGGCUUAGUGUCUGACUUUUUUUUAUGAAUCAUGAAUAAUUCACUUCAAUCAUCGGAACUUAAAAGAAAUAGUGGGAUACUUUAUAACUAAAUUACAAUUCUACUACUAUUUGUAAGGAUUCAAGCUUGACUAUUUCUGAUACCUUAAAAAAAGAAGAAUGUGGCCUGAAUAGAAAAAGUUGAGGAUCUGCAUAAGCGCAUAGAGAAUCUCUCUAUAGCACGAUCUAAGACUCAAAAGAAUAGAGACAUUUAGUAAAUUCCUUGUAUCCUCUUGAAGAAAAGUACAUAUAUCUUCGUACCAUUUUGUAAGACUCUACUAGAUACGGCUUCAUAGAUAGCCUGGGACACUUGAACCUUAUGAUCUGAUUCCAAGUUUGUAAUGACCCAAAAUCGCUUCUAGGGACGUCACACAGUGCCUAGGGUCUCAAGUGACCCCAAGAUAACCCUUCUAUUCGGACAACUCAUAAGCAAUGGAAUAAAAUGCAUAAAUCUGAAAGAAUAAGGUGGAAAAGAACUCUAAUACGAAUUUGCUCAAUAUAAAUCUAAAGUCACAGGGUUACAAAUCUGCUUUUAUAAUAAAAUUGAGACUCAAUACAUCAACUCCUACCAACUAUCUAUGUAGACUCUACUAGUACUAACAAUGGGUAGCUAGGUCAUGAAUCCCAACCACCCCAACUCAAUAUAACUAAAUAAGGAAAAUACAACACUUUUCUAUUAUAUCACUAACUUUUAGCCCUGAAUCAGAAGGUCUCAUCACCUGAUGACUGGAAGCUACAAACUGAUUGGACGUGGUACAUGCGCUACAAUCUUGUACCUAAAUUAUGAGACAAAGUAUCACAUAGACGUAUAUGUGAAUCAGUACGGAGUAUGUGGGGGUGAAUGCAUAUGCAUAAAAUAGUGUCAGUCUUCUUCAAUCAAGUCAUGCAUGCAAUAUGGGAUGACUCACAUGUCUUGAACAAGUAUAAAAUGUAAAGCUCAUAAAUCAUGUAGAAUGAAGCAUGUAACACAAUCUCGUGAUUCAUCAUUAUUUAACUUCAAAAUCGGAAACCUUCUCUUACUCGCAAUGCCCAAAUGCUAAGGGAUUUCAAACCACACUUUGAAGUCAUGCAUAUAUCUCAAGAGAGUAAAAGUUCUUCAAUGCUCAACACUUCACAAUCAUUUAGAAACUUAUAUACUUGAAAUUUGAAAUCAUAAAACUUGAAAACAUACUAGAAGGGAUUUUAUUCACUUUAGAAAAUAUCUCAUCUCAAAUCAAUUCCUUAUAGGGAAGGAAAAUAAGCAUUUAAUUUUGAAGUUCAAAAGGCAAUGAAGGUUCUCGUAACUGACAUAAACCAUUCAAGAUACAUGGAGUCCAACAUUUAUCCUCGUAAGAAAGAGACCCCACGUUGGGGAGGAGUGUCAUACUCUUUCCAAGGAGUAUAAUCUUGGUCUAGUGAUCACUAAACAAAAAUUGGUCUCGGGCCUACGUAAUCAAAUUGGCCUCAGGCCUGCUCAUAAUCAUAAUAUAAUCAGCCUCAGGCUCAUAUCCUAUGGUGGCACGUAGUUUUAGGGUAAGAAACCAUAGUAACUUACCUAUUCGGUGCUAAAUACUACUCCCUUUAGAUUUUCUAUGCUCAUCUCAAAAAGUCCACUUUUAGAAUAAUCACAUGGUUCACCAUGAACCCAAUAAUCAAAUCAAUAAUCUCAUAUAGUGAAGUGGAUUUCAAAGAUCAAGGACCAUUAGGUCAGUUCAUUUCUCAAUCAUCUCAAUAUAUUCUAAACAUGGGUGCUCAUAGCACCAGAGUUCAUAAUUUCAUUUGUCUCGAAUAGUGCUUAUUAACCCAUAGUUCAAUUUCAAGUUAAAGCUUAUCAAAAGAUUAAUAUAUAGCAUAUAGAUUCAUAAAUCAUAUGGAAAUCUAGAAAUUUCAGCAAUUCAUCUCAAAAUCUCAAUGUAGUCAUAUGCUUAAAUAUCUCAACAUUUCAAAUAUAAGCUUCUCAAGGAGUAAAGUCAUGGGGUUUAUCCAGCUGUAAAAACUCAAGAAAACAUGUAGAAAUCAUNNNNNNNNNNNNNNNNNNNNNNNNNNNNNNNNNNNNNNNNNNNNNNNNNNNNNNNNNNNNNNNNNNNNNNNNNNNNNNNNNNNNNNNNNNNNNNNNNNNNNNNNNNNNNNNNNNNNNNNNNNNNNNNNNNNNNNNNNNNNNNNNNNNNNNNNNNNNNNNNNNNNNNNNNNNNNNNNCACAUACCUUGAAUUUGAAUAUUUAGAAGAACUCUCACUUUUGGAACUCUACUCUUGCUCUAGAAUGAGGGUUCUUGAGACCCUUCACUUGGGAACCUAGAAUCUUGACUUAAUUUAGAAAAUCCAUGGUGGAUUCUUGAGAUUUAUGGAAGAGGUUUAGAGUAUUUAGGAUUCUUGUUGAGAGGAUACUUGAUAAAACCCUCAUAUAAUGCUUGCAAAUGGGUUUAAUCCAGUGUUUCCAUGAUUUUAUAGGCUUGAAAAAAGUCAAAAAUGCCCUUUUUAAACAUCUGUGCUAAACUGGAAAAAUUGAACUGGAACCCAAUUUCACUGGCCUCCGCAACGCAGAACUUAUCGCGUUGUCUCUCUGGAUAUUGACAAUUACUAAAUCAACCAUCUCCGUGAUGGGCCACUCACUCAAAUGACAUAAUUUUACGACUAAGGUUUAAAUUAGUCAUAACUUCUUACCUGAGUGUCGGAUUUGGGCAAAUCUUAUAUCGAUGGAAAGCUUAUCAGAUUUCCCAUGUGAUAAAAAAAUCAAAAUUUGGGUAAUUCUAUAUGGGUAACAUGUUACUUAAAUAGGAAUCAACUUCUAAUCUUUUAGGGACAGAAUUAUGCCUCACUCGACAUGCCCUACGACUCAAACUACGAGGGAACUUUGCGGGGCUUUAUAGUAACCAUGUCAUGGGCAUCCCAAUAUAGGGGUAAAUCAACUGGCACAAGUAGUGGUGGUGCUGCUUCACUACUAGAGGAUGCACUUAUGUCUAUCUCUAGACGCCUCUGCCUAUCAAUGACCGUAGUCUCUAUGCAAUCAUAUCUCAAACUUUUAAUAGUGUAGUCAUAUGGCAUAUCAAGAUCCUACAAGAUUUAUUUGUGACAUAUGUUUACACCAACUAUCGAUACCAUCUUAUCAUCCUCUGUGAAGAAAUUAAACUUUCUAGGUACAUGCAGAGGUAAUAUCUAGACCACUGGGGGGUAUAACUGAGGGAGUGGAUACUAUACAACUAUCUAUGAGAGUGCAUACCUCUGCUUAUAAUAUAUAAAAAUCCUCCUUCAUCUAGGCUAGAUCUGGUGCCUCUAUAUCUGUAAUUCGAGUUAUAACUUAUCUCUCAAAGUCAUCAAGACAUGCCUAAAAGUCAGCACGUAGCUCAGAGAGUGCAGCUCUUUGUGCGGCCUCCCAUCUGUCCUCUGCCUACUCAAAUCUAGUUCGAACCCCAGAUCUCAUUUUCUCGUAUAAGGUAUUUAUCUUAGUCUCAACAACCUCAACCAAGCAUUGGUGACCCUCUGGCUUUCCACUAAACUCUUUAAGAACUCUAUAGAUAGAGUAAUUAUACCCUUAGUAGGAGUUGUAAUAGAUGGGUGAGUAGGCUCUGAACAUAUGCCAACCUGCUCUGAGGUUGAAGUCGGGUCUUAUGAAGAAGUGGUUGGUGUCCCCUCACCCUGAUUACUCGAAUUGGUAGCCUUUCUCUGCAUCCCUAUCUUCAUAUUAUCACUAACACCCAUAUUGCAUACAUGUUCGUCACCACUGUGGAAACUGAUGGGCCCUCAAUCUAGACUCGAGGAACUGUGGUAGGUUCUCUAGAUCUCCUGGCAAGGCCUGGGCAUGCUAGAUCCUAUAUACUCUUUAUCUACAUAGUAUCCAUCACACGUACCCUUUCAUAUACACCCGGUAUCUCAAGUACACCAGCCUUAUCAUAUAUCCUCUGAAUAAUUCUAUGGUAUGGUAGAUUAGUCAUCUCCCCAAAUGCUCUGUCAUGGAUCUCAUUCAAUAGGAUGGAUCCAAAAUCAAUAGCAUAUCGGGUCAUUAUAGUAGCAACAAGGGUUCUUCCUUCCAAAGUAAACAAACUAUCCAAAGCUGUGGGAAAUAAUUUAUAUCUAAUUAGCAACCACCAAAACAUGGACUCAAUGGUCAACACACCCUUGUUGAUCAUUCCAUUACCCUCAAUCUAUGGGUUAGCAUCACUUAAAGGUAAAAUAUAGCUGGAUAUCCACCUAUCCAUCUCAACCCUUUCUCAGGUAUGUUAAGCCUCCUGUAUAAUGUGUCGAUCUUAUACGAAUCUUAGUCGGUAGUCACACUCAGUUGUAGAUGCAAGAGUGAUAUAAUAUAGACCAAAAAUGACCCGACAGAUAAUCUCUACUGAAGCUAAACUCUAACCCCUCUCAUAAGUGUAUGACCAAGAUAUGGCGGCUCUAUGUGCUUCGUCGGGUUUGGCAAUCUGUGCAUAGCAAGAGAAUAACUAGGUAUCAUGCAUAAAACUCAAGCACCGAACCUAGGCUAUAAGAACCAAGUGGUCUAGUUAUCCACUCUAACUAAUAUUGAUCAGAGUAAGCUCGUAACUAUGGUACUCUCCUCAACCAUGAUAUACCAAUCUUUCUCCUUAUAAAUAAGUCUCUUGGGUUUUCUAGUAUCUGAGAUAUGAUUGUUUAUAUAAUAAACCACCAUAUAUCCUCUACAAACCACCUUAGAGGUGCCUCUAUGGCAUGUGUGGAUGCAAGGCUCUUCCCAUAAUGUACUGGUGCAUCAUGGGUAGCCUGCUCUGUACCAUCCUUAUAUUGGGGUACAUCUGAAUAUUGUAUGUGAAUGAUAGUACCUUACUAAGACUCAAAUACGACUGAUGAUUCCUCUAGACUCGAAUACCACUGAUGACUCCUUCUCAACAGCUUCAAAUGAAUCCUGGGACCCGUCCUCAGACUUGAGGUCCUAAGUUACAACCUUUGGAGUAGUGUAUGGGGGUUCUAUCCAUGCUGACUUCUUCCUUGACUAGGCUUUGACUGCCUGAGUAGUCUGGCGUAUCUCUCCUCUAGUUACUCUGUGUGUAACCACAACUAUAGUGUCCCUAUGUCGCUGCAUCAGGUACUCCUCCACUGAACCACUAGGCUCGAGAUACUCUGCUCGUCUCCUCGAGGUAUCAACCUUUUUAUUCUUAUUAUCUUUUGGUACCAUGUCUACCUAAAAAAAUAGUCGUUAGUUUCCAAAAUAAUAAGGUAUAGCAAAAAUUAAAGAAAACUCAAAAUUCAAAAAGUUAAAAUUUUUCCUCAAUUUUCAGACCCUUAGAACCUGUUUGAAAUCAAUGCAAGUCCAAUGUGCAAAAAUCUAUCAAGAAUCAUCAUUUUCAAUAUAAACUAAUAUGCUCAACUUGUGGUAUUACUCUAUUCAUUCAAGUUCAACUUUUGGUUGGGGCCUAACCUUAGAAUUUAAUUCAAAACAUGACCCUAAAUUGAGAUUAUAGGAUAAUUCAAGGCUCCUACAUACAAGCUUGAUAAUAUCUAUAUAUUUUACAAGGGAAUACAUAUAUCAACUUGUUUAAAUAAUAAAUAAAUCAAUACAUAACCAUUAGGAGUCGAGAGAGUUACAUCUUUUAUGAAAAUCUGAAUAUGAACAAAGAAGAACUCGAGCAAAAUCAAAGUUAGAAAUUAUAUUUAGUGUUUUGAGACAAGUUAGUAUCUCAAACAAGUGUCAAUUUAGCCUCUACUUAAGUAUGGGGUUACUUUAUGUUUUAAGAGAGAAGUUUGGAUUCAAAGAGAAAAAUGAAGUUUUGAGGAUUUGAAUGAGUUAGAAUAAGUUUAAAUGUGUUUACAUAAGGAUGGAACAUGUGUUGGUGGGCUCGAAUUUUUAAUUAAAAUUUGGGGCCACUUAUGACCAAGUCACGGUAGGUACCUGCGCCUGCCACAUACGGCAAGCAUGGGUGUAAGUUCCAUUUGCAUAACUGCAGGGCUAAAAAUUUUGGCACCCUUUCCUGCAAUCCUGAUGUGGUGUUUUUCUAUUUUUACAGCUACUUAUGAUACCGUAACCUAAGUUUAUCAUACCAUAAGGAUGAUUAGAUACCAAAGUCCACAACUUUUAAUUCUCAUCCUAAAAGUAUUCACUGUUUAAUUUAUUGUUCAUCUUACCUGGCUCAUGUGGGACUCGUGACCAUGAUGGGUUAAUCACACCAUCCCCUUGCGCGGAAAUUGAUGAAUGAAGCAAUUUUACCAUAUUCCAGGCAAGUCAAUAAGCUAAAAACCAACAAAAGAAAAACAACAAAAAAUGAAUACUCAAGUAGUUGUUUGCCUCCUUCUCAGCACUGGACUUAACGUCGCGGCAUAAUGCGACUGUAAAUAAAUACUCCACACUUAGACUUUAAAAGGUACAGAUAAAAAUACUCCCUGAGGCAUCUAGGCCUAGCUAGUAGCAUAUUUACACGUUAAGAGGGUCUGAGGACCCUACACUUAGUCUUUUCCAUGUUCCUUAGCUCAGGUUUUCCGAUACUCAGACUUCCUAUCAACCUUUGACUUAACAAAAACAAACACUAGUGAAGUAGAACUCAAUAUACUUAAAAUAAAACCUACUUACUUAACUUGGGUUGCCUCCCAAGAUACGUCUGAUUUAGUGUAGCAGCAUGACCCAAUCUCUAACUCAACCAUAUUCCUUCAUCUUUUUCCUCCUAAUUUCUGACCUCUUGAGUGUGAACUCUCAAGGUUAAUACCUUUCUCAACAAUAACCUUUUCAAGAUCAUCAAUUUCCAUCAUGUCGGGCUUAGAUAUUUAUGGCUUAUCCUUCUCAAUUAGGAAGUCUAGAGAGGUGUUUUAUGGAAUAGAUUCCUCCACCCCACACUUAUUCCCUUUAACCACUAUAAUCAUGCAAAUCUUUAUAGUGGGCUAUUGCGUUGAGCGGUUUGUACUCUUUAAAAAUCAUCUCUCCAUUAUCUAGCCUCAUUGUUAGUGUGCCCUCUCUCAUACCAAAGCUCCUCCCAACUCCAAGAAUGGAUGUCCCAAGAUGACUAUUACUCUUUUAUCUACCUAAAAAUCUAAAAUAAUAAAAUAAGAAGGAAUAAUAAACUUACCAACCUUGAUAAGAACAUCCUCUAUGACUCCUUCAGGAUGGGCUAUUAUCCCAUUUACCAGUUGUAAUAGCACAAAGUACGGUCUUGGCUUUCCUAAGCCCAAAGUGUUAAACAAAGAGAGGGGCAUCAAAUUGAUGCUUGCCCCUAAGUCACUAACUACAUGGACCACCUCACUAUUGCCAAUUCAAGUGAGGAGAGUGAACCUCCCAAGGUCCUUGAUAUUCUUUGGCAUCUUUUGUGUCACCACAGAGCUACACUUCUCAGUGAGUGCGACUACCUUGACAUCCUAUAUCGUAACAUAGUUAGUGACCACAUCCUUCAAGUACUUAGAAUACUUGGUCAUUCCUUGACAAAAAUCUAAGAGAAAAAAGUUAAUAUGAAUAUCUUAGAAUGUGUCGAAGAACUUUUUAAAGCACACAUCCUCCUUUUCCUUUUUAUGCUUCUGUGGAAAAGGUAGUGAUGGUCUCUCUUUCACCUAUUCAGCAAUUUUAUUUUUUGAGUACUCUGACUUUCCUAAAUUUUUAUCAACUUUCUUAGAUACCUGUGGGGAAAUUAACUCUGCAUCUACCUCCUUAGUUUUUUUUGGAGUUUCUUCAUUCAUACUUUUACCACUCCCCAAAGAAUUUGCCAUAAUCUUUUUCGGAUUUUCUGUAUCACUUGGCAAACCACCUUGAGGCCUGGUAUUUUGUGCCUUCGUAAACUGACCAAUUAGAAAAUCUAAGAUCCUUGUAACUUCUUGUUGCCUCUUUAUAUCUACUGCCAGUUGAUCUUGAGUAACCAUGAUUUGCUUUAGCAUCUCUUUUAAAUUGUUGUUCAGAGUUGUGGGUUGAUUAUUCUGAGCUUGUUUCUAUUGAAACUAUUAUUGAUUGUUCCAUGAGGUGUUUAGUGGAUGAGUUUACGACUUUUGAUUGUAGGCAAUCCUAUAAUUUGUCAUUUAAACAUUACCUGCAAAUAUCACAAUCUCUAGAUUUGUAGCACACAUAGCCACUGAAUGGCCACUAUUACCAUAAACCUCCCAACAACCUAUAACCUGUUGAAUUGCAUUAACUGUGUUUGCAGGCGGUGUAACCCGCAAAUUUUUAUUGCUUGGCUGAUUUUGCAUUGCAGAAAUAUGGGUGGAUAUAGCAGUAAAUUGGUCCACCUCCAAUACACCUACAACCUUCUUUAUGGAAUUUCUUGAGUCUAAAUGCCACUUGGGAUUCCCUUGUUCAAUUCGGUUCAACAAGGUAAAAAGCUCAUCAUAUGUCAACUCUAGAGCUUGGUUUUUGGUCAAGUACUUCAACAAAAAUAUAAGCUAAUACCUCGCUGGACUGCUGAUGUUGCAGAUAGUCCCGAAGAAGUGAUUUCAACCACUCCCAUGCAUGAUACAAAUUCUUAUCUAGCUUCUGUUUAAUGCACACAAUCUCACUAUGAAGUUUUGCAAUCUUGCUAGAUGGAAAGAAUUGAAUGAGGAAUUUCUGGGUUAAGUCAUCCUAUGUUGUGAUUGAAUUUAUUGGCUCAGAAUUCAAGCACUUUUUUGCUUUCCCCAACAGUGAAAAGGGGAAUAGUGUCAGCCAAACAUAGUCAGUUCACACACCCGUAGGGACAAAUGUGCCAUUGAUCUCCAAUAAGUUCCAUAGGUGGACUUGUGGAUCUUCAUGCGAAAGCCCUAUAAACUUUCCAUUGUUGAUAAAAAAGCUGCAUCAUAUUCCGUUUUCACUCAAAAUUACCCCCAACACCUAGUUUCUGAAAAAGAGAGGUCAAAUUUCCUAGAAGUGGUAUUUCCACUUUGCGAAUUAUCUAGUGGGAUAGCUGUUCUUUAUCCAUGAAAUUAGCAUCGUCUUGUUCCUCAUGAAUUUGUGGGAAUUGGUGGAGAAGUUCUACCUCUCCUCUAUUGAUGGUACAAUUGCUUGGAUUCGGGCUUUGGUUUGACUAAUUCCCUAUCCCGUGCUAACCUACUAAUUUUUUAACCUAUUUCUUACAAACUAAAUACCAAAUAACAAGCUUAAAGAAGCAAAGAAAUCUAAAAAUUAAAACAAAAACAAAAAUAGUUGCCAAUUUGCAAGUCCCCAGUAAUGACGCCAAAAACUUAUUGUUCCCAAGUGUACACGCAAGUUUAUGUGGUAUCACCAAGUUGUAAAGUUUCCCUUUAGAAGCUAAGUGUCAAUCUUAUAGGGACUAGUGUUAAGCAACUAUGAAAUUUCAAUUCAACUAUUAAGAUUAACAAGGUUCAAGUGUAACCAAGAGAGAAUUUGAAGUCUAUAAACUAAAAGUAAAUAGUCAGUAAAGUAAAGACUUAAUACAAUCAAUGGAUGAAAUCCUAGGGUUAAAUCAGUACAAACAAUCAUACUAUGCUUUAACUUCAUUAAUUAAAUUACUUAUCUUGGUUGUUGAUUCGUAGGGUUUAUCGUACGAUCAUGGUCUCCUGACCUCUAAUUUUCUACCUACUUUGACGUUGCAACUACAUCAUUGAGCGAGGAAAUAAUAAUCCAAUUAGAUGCAUUAAUAUAUCAUCCUACAUGUUAACUAAGCAAGGCUUCUAGGUAUAUCCCUAUCCUAGAUUCUUAUUCAAAUUCCUUAUUUCAUAAAAGAAUAAGAACCUUACUUUCUCAGUCCCGCGUUCUAUCUUUCUGUUACACCUACUGAGACCAUAAGGUCUACAAUAUAUGUAAUAUAAAGGUCAAAAAAUCCUUAAAAUAGUUGAAACAAGGAUAAACAAACAACCAAAGUUUAUAAGCAAUUCAAACAGACUUAACUCAGAACAAAAGUAAUUAUGUUCUUGGGUUUAACCUCAGAAAGGGGGCGUUUAGCCACUAAUCAGAAUAACCAUAAUCCAAAUUCUUGAAUACAUGAUUAAAUCUAUUAAAAAUACACAAUUAAGUAAUAUAAAUCCAAAAAAAUAUGUGUAGUAGACUACUCUCCAGUCCCAAGACGUCGAAAACUAAUUUGAACAUGAUGACAAGUCCUACUUAUAGUAAGAGACAGUUUUUCCAUGUGUGGGAAGAUUGACGCACUGCAUUGCUUAAUCAAAUUGAGAGAUAAAAACGAUGCAAUGGUUACACAUUGAGUAAGUGCGCGUUGGCUCACUUGAAUUUGCCUUUUGAUGCCUAAUUUCUUCUAAGUGUUUCUCCUUCCAUCACUUGACUUGUAGUGUUAUUGCCACUCAAUUUUAAUAUUGUAUAGAAUAUAAAUAUAAUCACAAUAAACAUGAUUAAAAACAACACUUUAGGUUCAAAACAACACAAUAUCAAUAACGAUGAACUAGAAACACGAGCUAAGCUAGGCUUGGCCAUGUUAAUCUUUACUUCAUGAUUUGACUCUUUAAUUGAUUCAAGUGCACUUUGUAAAUUGUAAAAAGUUUUUACACAUAAAUAAAACCAUUAGGAACUCAUUUAACACAUUAUAAUCCAUCAUAAUAGACUAGAGCAACACCUAGCUCAAGCUAGUAAAGCUAGUUUUCUCGUCUAGACUCUAAAUGAUCCAUUUGAACCCAUACUUGUUUUAAAACAACUUUAAACAUUAUAAUCAUAUACUUUUACACUUAUAUUCUUAUUUAUAUCAUCAUCAACACAUAAAUCACACGAAUUGUCUUCAAAACCAGGCUAAAUAGUAAGAUAACAACACUAAAGUACGGAAAUACACCCAACAUCAUGAUCGUGACCCCAAACCAGAAUCAGAUCUACCCAAGCUAACCUUCAAGUCCCACAAUCACAUAAUAUGAUUGAUAUAAUUGUACCUAUGUGAUUGUGAUCACAAUGGCUGAGUUUUGUUUACAUUUAUGUCAGCUAUAAAUUGGGAAAUGUUUUUAAAAUGGUUCCCACACUCAACUCCCUUUAAAUACCAAAAAAAAUCUAAAUUUUUUUAUAAUUUUAAGCGUAUCCAAAGUGCAUACAUCCUCCUUUGCAUCGUCACAUCCAGUAUGACAUCUCAAUCUUCUUUUAAUGCUUAAGUUAGGCCUUAGAAGCAUGUUUGGGCUCAUGGCUUAGAUUAUUGAUUUUGGUGCUUAAUAUAUGUUCAAUAGUGAUAAUUUUUUAGUGGUGAGUGUUGUUGUUGGUGUUCACCUCAUUGGGGAAGUCUUGAGUACCAAAGUUGUUCAAAACUAGGAUGAAAUAAAGGUGCACACUAAGUGUUUAAUGAAAUAUCGAAAUGAACUUAUUGGUUGUUUUCUAUAAACAAAGGGUAAUAAUUGAGAGUUUAGGUUUUGUGUGUCAUAUUUCUAGUGUCAUUUACUUGCUUGGUACACAAAUUGGUAAAGAAAAUUAGUAGUUUUGAUCAUGAUCAUUCUAGGCCUGCAUCCUCAGGUAUCGCGAUAUAAUCACUAAACUGAGAUCACAAUAAUGCUAUUGCGAUCAAGUUCUUUUAAAUUUCAUCAACUAAAAGGUGUCUAACAGGCCUACCAAAACUCUUGAACUCUUAUUUUAAGCCCAAAUUUGACCCAUGAACCAUUUCAUUAGCUUUGCUAAUUUUCCUAGCAUUAUUUUCACAUGAUGAUAUUGAUUGCUAAUUUUUUUGGGUUCUUCAAGUUUCAAAACCUAAAUAUGGAAAACUAUGAUCAAACCAUUUUCAUGGUGAUUGAGUGUUAGACUAUUUAUUAUGAGGAUCCUUCCAGGUAGAAAGUACUACUUGAGAGGGACAUAUCAAUGGAAUAGGUACCCAAAAAGCUCUUUUCAUUGAGUGAGAGCUUGGUAGCCACAUAUUGGAGAUGCUUCACCUUAGGUCUAUACCGAGCUAAUAAGCAAUUGAUUAGGGAAUUCUAUGCUAAUCUCAAUGUCGUGAAAAUUUCUGACCUAGUAUUGAGAAUUUAAGGCACAAAAGUUUGUUACAUGGCUAAACAAAUCAAUAAAGUAUAUGGGUUGCCAAAUAUUGAUAUGAGUGAGCAUGAAGACAAAGACUGGGCACUGGGAAGCUGGUUAGUUGAGAAGCUAUGCUCAGGAAGGAAAGUUCAAUAGGCUGACACAAAAAUUGGUAUAACAAAGAAUCAGUAACGAUGAAGGCUCGGAUUUGGUUAACUAUCAUCUUUAUAUAUGUUUCUUUAUCUACCAAUAUGACCCAUGUCCAAUUCAUGUAAGAUUAGAUGGUAGCUUGCCUUUUAUAAAAUAUUUCUAAUAAUGUUGGUCAUUUUAUGCUUUCAUAGAUCUGCUAUUUUAAGAAGAAAGGUGGCCCCAUGAUCCUAUUUCUUUCUUUUAUCAUUGAGCUUUGCAAGAGGGCUGAGGUGGAGGAAUAUUCUAGGGACAACUAGGUAUCGCUGAAGACCCUUAUUUACCUAUUGAAUAUACUGGCGAGGAAUCACCUUUAAAGACAAAAAAAAGGAAAAUCAAUUUGGGUAAAUCAGUGGAUAAUGAUGUUGACUCUUGCAGACCAUCAAUAGUAGGGAUUCUUGAGUAGAUCUCAAGUCAGAUAUGAAUAAUAAAUAAGCUAGUUUCUAAUCUACCUCAAUGGAUAGAGGAACCUUCAAUUAAUCUACACUCCUUUGUUUUU